RNAcentral lists this ribosomal RNA (403 nucleotides) under uncultured bacterium. Its description in RNAcentral is "bacterial SSU rRNA". It matches the Rfam family "Bacterial small subunit ribosomal RNA", at positions 29 to 446 of the family's 1533-position model. The record is from RNAcentral.
AGCGAACGCUAGCGGCGGGCUUAACACAUGCAAGUCGAGCGCAUCUCCUUCGGGAGGUGAGCGGCGAACGGGUGAGUAACACGUAGGUAACGUACCCUCUGGUGGGGAAUAACCCAGGGAAACUUGGGCUAAUACCGCAUGUGCCCUUCGGGGUGAAAGACUUCGGUUGCCAGAGGAUCGGCCUGCGGCCCAUUAUUUAAUCCUAGUUGGUAGGGUAACGGCCUACCAAGGGUACGAUGGGUAGCUGGUCUGAGAGGAUGAUCAGCCACACUGGGACUGAGACACGGCCCAGACUCCUACGGGAGGCAGCAGUGGGGAAUAUUGGACAAUGGGCGAAAGCCUGAUCCAGCCACGCCGCGUGAGUGAUGAAGGCCUUCGGUUGUAAGACUCUGUCGGGAGGGAC